CAGUGCAGGGUUACCUGGGUCACUGCAGCGGCGCUGGGGGUCUGCAGGGCUACAGCUGUGGUUCUUGGGAGCCU
This 74-nucleotide microRNA precursor is filed under the name Sorex araneus (European shrew). RNAcentral's name for it is "miRNA (ENSSARG00000016892.1)". The record is from RNAcentral. Lineage: Eukaryota; Metazoa; Chordata; Mammalia; Eulipotyphla; Soricidae.